This is a long non-coding RNA of Bubalus bubalis (water buffalo), 873 nucleotides long. RefSeq lists it as uncharacterized. The record is from RefSeq and is a predicted model, not a curated record. The transcript is spliced from 2 exons. Lineage: Eukaryota; Metazoa; Chordata; Mammalia; Artiodactyla; Bovidae.
CCUCUGCUUCUAGAGUUCCAAGGUUGCGAUAUGCCUCCCAGCAAAGGCAGUUCAAUCAGGCAACCAUUCAUUAUGUACUCAGCCACCAACUGCUGAGAGGUUACCCUGUGCCAGGCACUGGAGAUGUGGAAAUAGACCAGGCCUGCUCUCAAGGAGCCCCCAGGUCUCUGCUGAAGCGCAGAAGAGGGACACAGUUUUGAUCCUGUGUGCACUGUUUAAAACGAAAUAAAAACAACUUUGAAAACAAUCGCAGACCAGUGGAAGAGACAAGCUUAAUUAAACUGCUCACUCUGGCUUGGAGGGGCGUUCCCAUUCGUCCGCGUUCAAGAGGAUGUCCUCUGCUAAUAUUAAACAGCUGAUCUAAGUGUUUAUUACGGCCAGGCGCUGUGUCUGGGGCUCCAAAGACGUUCUCUCUUCUCCUUCACAAGCACCGAAUGAGAUGGGGACUGUGAUUGCCCCAUUUUAGAGAGGAGGAAGACUAAGAAUUCUGCAGAAGUUGCGGCAGUAAGUUAGUGGUGGGACCAGAGCUGGAAUCCCAGACUAUCUGGCUCUCAAGCAUCUAUCUACCUCCACGAUGUGCUGUCCCCACAGCACCUCUCCAGAGCUUCUGAGCAAGGGUCUUGGAGCAAAGUGGGUUUGCGGCCCUUGAGGAAUGGAAGUAAAAUGUGCACAUUGGGUAGUUUUUGUUUUUAAGUACCUUCAACUCAAAACACAUGUUUUUUUAAUUGUUUAAGGCAGUUUGAAUUGGAUGUUACAAUUGAAAGUGUCCUUAUUGAGACCGAAUUUACAUAAAGCUAUUUGACCAUUUUAAAGUCUGCAGUUCAUUUUUUAUUAUAGUCACAAAAUUGCACAUCCAUUACCAGAACAUUUUCA